UACGGAGGAUGCGAGCGUUAUCCGGAUUUAUUGGGUUUAAAGGGUGCGUAGGCGGUCGGAUAAGUUAGAGGUGAAAUCCCGAGGCUCAACUUCGGAAUUGCCUCUGAUACUGGUUUGCUAGCGAGUAGAUGCUGUAGGCGGAAUGUGUGGUGUAGCGGUGAAAUGCAUAGAGAUCAUACAGAACACCGAUUGCGAAGGCAGCUUACCAAGCUACUUCUGACGUUGAGGCACGAAAGCGUGGGGAGCAAACAGG
This 253-nucleotide ribosomal RNA is filed under the name uncultured Rikenellaceae bacterium. Its description in RNAcentral is "partial 16S ribosomal RNA". It matches the Rfam family "Bacterial small subunit ribosomal RNA", at positions 524 to 776 of the family's 1533-position model. Lineage: Bacteria; Pseudomonadati; Bacteroidota; Bacteroidia; Bacteroidales; Rikenellaceae. The record is from RNAcentral.